UACAGAGGUGGCAAGCGUUAUUCGGAAUUACUGGGCGUAAAGCGCACGUAGGCGGCUUUGUAAGUUAGAGGUGAAAGCCUGGAGCUCAACUCCAGAAUUGCCUUUAAGACUGCAUCGCUUGAAUCCGGGAGAGGGAUGUGGAAUUCCAGGUGUAGCGGUGAAAUGCGUAGAUAUCUGGAGGAACACCGGUGGCGAAGGCGGCAUCCUGGACCGGCAUUGACGCUGAGGCGCGAAAGCUAGGGGAGCAAACGGG
This 253-nucleotide ribosomal RNA is filed under the name uncultured bacterium. Its description in RNAcentral is "partial 16S ribosomal RNA". It matches the Rfam family "Bacterial small subunit ribosomal RNA", at positions 524 to 776 of the family's 1533-position model. The record is from RNAcentral.